Molecule: ribosomal RNA, 253 nt
Filed under: uncultured bacterium
Lineage: Bacteria
Description: partial 16S ribosomal RNA
Rfam family: Bacterial small subunit ribosomal RNA
Source: RNAcentral
UACGGAGGGGGCUAGCGUUGUUCGGAAUUACUGGGCGUAAAGCGCACGUAGGCGGCUUUGUAAGUUAGAGGUGAAAGCCCAGGGCUUAACCCUGGAAUUGCCUUUAAGACUGCAUCGCUAGAAUCGUGGAGAGGUGAGUGGAAUUCCGAGUGUAGAGGUGAAAUUCGUAGAUAUUGGGAAGAACACCGGUGGCGAAGGCGGCGCUCUGGACCGAGACUGACGCUGAGGCGCGAAAGCGUGGGGAGCAAACAGG